AGUUGCCCUUUUAAUAUCAGAAUAAAAUCGGAGUCAAUUAAUCGCUAAUCUAUCAGCACUUCUCUUGGGGUACCUAUGAAGGCUGCUUAUUAUGCUGGGCCCUGGAGGACAGGACAGUUCAACACUCAGCAUCUCUACUGGAUCAGUUGUAAGUAUGCAAAUUCCAGUCAGACCACACGACAUUGGAGGGCCCAGGGACUUCUGACACCUGGGCUUGUCUGCUUGGAUGGAGGAUUAGAAUGGAAACUUUGAAGGCCCCCAGCUCCACCUGUGACCCCCAGAGCUGGUCAGAAGAAAGCAGCCAUACUGUAAACUAUAAAAACAUGGAGCACCGCAAAGCCUGAUUUCUUAUCAAUCUCACUGUGGACCCUAGUGCUUGCUGUUUAACAAUAGCAUGCCUUUUCAAACAAUGCAUUUAGGGUAUGCUGUUUGAAUUUUAUCACUCUUAAGGCUUGCAAGAAUUAGCAAAUCUUUUGAAGUUUGUCAUAGAACCACGAUAGAAUAAGAACAUCUAUAAAUACAAGGAACAACACAUAAUGGGUUUCAGUAACCCCAGCAAAAUACAGGCGCGUCUCCACCUUACCUUCCCUGAACUGACUAAUUU
This 604-nucleotide long non-coding RNA is filed under the name Chinchilla lanigera (long-tailed chinchilla). Its description in RNAcentral is "lncRNA (ENSCLAG00000025468.1)". Lineage: Eukaryota; Metazoa; Chordata; Mammalia; Rodentia; Chinchillidae. The record is from RNAcentral.